This 75-nucleotide transfer RNA is filed under the name Candidatus Tremblayella phenacoccinincola. Its description in RNAcentral is "Candidatus Tremblaya phenacola tRNA-Arg". It matches the Rfam family "tRNA". Rfam says of the family: Transfer RNA (tRNA) molecules are approximately 80 nucleotides in length. Lineage: Bacteria; Pseudomonadati; Pseudomonadota; Betaproteobacteria. The record is from RNAcentral.
GCGCCCUUAGUUCAGUUGGAUAGAGCAACGGCCUUCUAAGCCGUAGAUCACAGGUUCGAACCCUGUAGGGCGUGC